RNAcentral lists this long non-coding RNA (223 nucleotides) under Coffea arabica (coffee). Its description in RNAcentral is "long non-coding RNA (CARA_LNC000467)". Lineage: Eukaryota; Viridiplantae; Streptophyta; Magnoliopsida; Gentianales; Rubiaceae. The record is from RNAcentral.
GGGGAAACCUGUGAAAUUUGGGGUUUUCCAAGACAUAACCCAUUUUGCAUCCAAUUAGCGGAAGAAAUUAGGGGCUUGAAACCGAUUCCCAAUUACCAGCUUACAACUAUAAUGUCUUCAAGUUCAUCCUUUGAAGUGCAUAGCAGAUGGAGAAAUUUGGAUGCGGGAUCGUCCAGCUCAGCUACAAAUCGAUCUUCAAGGAAAGAGGCCUAUGGAAGUUCAC